GACGAACGCUGGCGGCGUGCUUAACACAUGCAAGUCGAACGGAAAGGCCCUGCUUUUGUGGGGUGCUCGAGUGGCGAACGGGGGAGUAACACGUGAGUAACCUGCCCUUGACUUUGGGAUAACUUCAGGAAACUGGGGCUAAUACCGGAUAGGAGCUCCUGCUGCAUGGUGGGGGUUGGAAAGUUUCGGCGGUGGGGGAUGGACUCGCGGCUUAUCAGCUUGUUGGUGGGGUAGUGGCUUACCAAGGCUUUGACGGGUAGCCGGCCUGAGAGGGUGACCGGCCACAUUGGGCCUGAGAUACGGCCCAGACUCCUACGGGAGGCAGCAGUGGGGAAUAUUGCACAAUGGGCGGAAGCCUGAUGCAGCAACGCCGCGUGCGUGAUGACGGCCUUCGGGUUGUAAACCGCUUUCGCCUGUGACGAAGCGUGAGUGACGGUACUGGGUAAAGAAGCACCGGCUAACUACGUG
RNAcentral lists this ribosomal RNA (468 nucleotides) under uncultured bacterium. Its description in RNAcentral is "partial 16S ribosomal RNA". It matches the Rfam family "Bacterial small subunit ribosomal RNA", at positions 28 to 507 of the family's 1533-position model. The record is from RNAcentral.